Molecule: unclassified non-coding RNA, 17 nt
Filed under: uncultured trypanosome
Lineage: Eukaryota; Euglenozoa; Kinetoplastea; Trypanosomatida; Trypanosomatidae
Description: partial trans-spliced leader
Source: RNAcentral
AACUAACGCUAUUAUUG